This 496-nucleotide ribosomal RNA is filed under the name uncultured bacterium. Its description in RNAcentral is "partial 16S ribosomal RNA". It matches the Rfam family "Bacterial small subunit ribosomal RNA", at positions 28 to 506 of the family's 1533-position model. The record is from RNAcentral.
GAUGAAUGCUGGCGGCGUGCCUAAUACAUGCAAGUCGAGCGAACAGACGAGGAGCUUGCUCCUCUGACGUUAGCGGCGGACGGGUGAGUAACACGUGGAUAACCUACCUAUAAGACUGGGAUAACUUCGGGAAACCGGAGCUAAUACCGGAUAAUAUAUUGAACCGCAUGGUUCAAUAGUGAAAGACGGUUUUGCUGUCACUUAUAGAUGGAUCCGCGCCGCAUUAGCUAGUUGGUAAGGUAACGGCUUACCAAGGCAACGAUGCGUAGCCGACCUGAGAGGGUGAUCGGCCACACUGGAACUGAGACACGGUCCAGACUCCUACGGGAGGCAGCAGUAGGGAAUCUUCCGCAAUGGGCGAAAGCCUGACGGAGCAACGCCGCGUGAGUGAUGAAGGGCUUCGGAUCGUAAAACUCUGUUAUUAGGGAAGAACAAAUGUGUAAGUAACUAUGCACGUCUUGACGGUACCUAAUCAGAAAGCCACGGCGAACUACGU